RNAcentral lists this transfer RNA (88 nucleotides) under Candidatus Uhrbacteria bacterium. RNAcentral's name for it is "tRNA-Ser". It matches the Rfam family "tRNA". From Rfam's summary of the family: Transfer RNA (tRNA) molecules are approximately 80 nucleotides in length. Their secondary structure includes four short double-helical elements and three loops (D, anti-codon, and T loops). Further hydrogen bonds mediate the characteristic L-shaped molecular structure. tRNAs have two regions of fundamental functional importance: the anti-codon, which is responsible for specific mRNA codon recognition, and the 3' end, to which the tRNAs corresponding amino acid is attached (by aminoacyl-tRNA synthetases). tRNAs cope with the degeneracy of the genetic code in two manners: having more than one tRNA (with a specific anti-codon) for a particular amino acid; and 'wobble' base-pairing, i.e. permitting non-standard base-pairing at the 3rd anti-codon position. Lineage: Bacteria; Candidatus Uhriibacteriota. The record is from RNAcentral.
GGUGGGGUGGCCGAGCGGUUUAAGGCACCGGUCUUGAAAACCGGCAGACUGAAAGGUCUCGCGAGUUCGAAUCUCGCCCCCACCGCCA